This 526-nucleotide ribosomal RNA is filed under the name Poikilolaimus oxycercus. RNAcentral's name for it is "SSU rRNA". It matches the Rfam family "Eukaryotic small subunit ribosomal RNA", at positions 571 to 1104 of the family's 1831-position model. Lineage: Eukaryota; Metazoa; Nematoda; Chromadorea; Rhabditida; Rhabditidae. The record is from RNAcentral.
CAGCCGCGGUAAUUCCAGCUCUCAAGGUGUAUAUCCCUAUUGCUGCGGUUAAAAAGCUCGUAGUUGGAUCUCCGCCUCAGGACGUGGUCCGCCUUUAGGUGUGUACUGCGAUCCUAGGCAGUUACUGCUGGUUUUCAGCCGGUGGCCUUAACUGGUUGCCGGUUGUGGCUAGCGAGUUUACCUUGAGUAAAUCAGAUUGCUCAAGAAAGGCGUUUCGCCUGAAUGUUUGUGCAUGGAAUAAUGGAAUAGGACUUCGGUUCUGUUUUGUUGGUUUUCUGAACUGAAGUAAUGAUUAAGAGGAACAGACGGGGGCAUUCGUAUCGCUGCGUGAGAGGUGAAAUUCUUGGACCGCAGCGGGACGCCCAACAGCGAAAGCAUUUGCCAAGAAUGUUUUCAUUAAUCAAGAACGAAAGUCAGAGGAUCGAAGGCGAUUAGAUACCGCCCUAGUUCUGACCGUAAACGAUACCAACUAGCGAUCCGCCGGUGGUAAUUACGCCCUGGCGGGGAGCUUCCCGGAAACGAAAGU